Molecule: long non-coding RNA, 354 nt
Organism: Hyla sarda
Lineage: Eukaryota; Metazoa; Chordata; Amphibia; Anura; Hylidae
Exons: 3
Source: RefSeq, a predicted model, not a curated record
CAGGAGUGGGCGGAGCUCAGUAAUUAUUCUGGCUGAGGACCUGUUAUGAGGAGCAGCAGGAGAGAAUAACCCUGGCAUAUCUGCUAAAAAGCAGGAAGACGUCAGUGACCCACCAGAGAGGAGCGCAGAGGAGAAUACACCUCUGCCUCUUUCAUCUUCUGCAGUGAACACAACAGACUCCAUUUCUGGUCCUUCAUGCUGGUUGCCGUUGGGAGGCUACUAUGCACCUUCAAAGUUGAAGUCGGCGGGUUCAGCCAACUUUAGUCUAAGAUGGGCAGCUUAAAAGGUAGAAAAAGUGGUGGACAGUUCUUGCUUUGUGAUAAAUACCUGUAGGAGACAAAAUGCACACCUUGA